This 225-nucleotide long non-coding RNA is filed under the name Elaeis guineensis (African oil palm). RNAcentral's name for it is "long non-coding RNA (EGUI_LNC000439)". Lineage: Eukaryota; Viridiplantae; Streptophyta; Magnoliopsida; Arecales; Arecaceae. The record is from RNAcentral.
AUAUCACAGUCAUCCACUCCAAAGUACGUCAAGUGGGUGUCUCAAAAAUCAUGUGCAAAAGUCAUUGAUGUUGCUUCCUCUAUGAUAUCCUCGAAUGUAUCUAUCUCGAAGCAACUAUUAGUUGAUGGUCCCUGAGAUGCACUGAACAUAUUCAAUCUUAGUUUCUUAUUUCUAAACGAUACGUUCAUGACUCCUAUCCUACAAUUGAUGCACGUAUUUGCCGUA